CUGUAUCCAACCCCACAAACCUUGCAAUAGCAUAUAAAAAAGAGCGCAACAACAAUAAAUGUGACUGCCGCAGUCACAAGAACUGCAACUAAAACUGUUUUAGUGUUGCUUUUUUUCUUAUUUGAUUGACCAUCGGAAGUAGAGUUUUGACUAGUAGAAGACUGAUCACUAGGACCAGAGGUUUUGCUAGAAUCAUUGUAGUCUCGAGGAAAAAAUGGCAGCGUAGGAGGACGGGCAGGUGGCGGAGAAUUGGGAGUUUCAGAACUGGAAGUAACUGGAGCAGGAGCAGGAGCUGGCGCAUCUCCAACCUGAACCAAUUCACGCCGUCUAGGUUCACCAUACCAUGAAAAGAGGAAGUCCAUGCAUCUGGUAUACCAUGUAGGUGAUUGCUUCUCCUCUCCCGAAAUAAGAAACAAAAGAUUUUUCUUCACUAGACAACCCAUAAG
Molecule: unclassified non-coding RNA, 446 nt
Filed under: Hevea brasiliensis (rubber tree)
Lineage: Eukaryota; Viridiplantae; Streptophyta; Magnoliopsida; Malpighiales; Euphorbiaceae
Source: RNAcentral